GCAGGGCUAUCCUCCUGGUGACUUCCACACCCAUGUAAUGAGAGAUUAUCCUGUUGCAAGUACAGUGCCUCGUUUACCUUUUAUGGAAGAAAGUGUGGAAAAUUGACCACAGAUACAGGUAUCUCUGUUGUGCAGUGCGUGGACUUGGAAGACACAGCGCUUAAACAGAACAAAAGAAAAUUGCUACAAAUGAAAGCAAUAAAUCCCUGUUUUAUAAAGUCC
Molecule: long non-coding RNA, 222 nt
Organism: Alligator sinensis (Chinese alligator)
Lineage: Eukaryota; Metazoa; Chordata; Crocodylia; Alligatoridae
Exons: 3
Source: RefSeq, a predicted model, not a curated record